GUUGUCUGCUGCAAAUCAAGAAAAAAAAUUAACGUGUGAUGAAAAUAAUGUCGAAGAUACGACAGAUGUUACCGUGUCAGGUGAUGGCACGUGGAAAAAACGUGGGUUUGCAUCAUUAUACGGUAUGAAUCUGUAUGGAUUGUG
Molecule: long non-coding RNA, 144 nt
Organism: Neodiprion virginianus
Lineage: Eukaryota; Metazoa; Arthropoda; Insecta; Hymenoptera; Diprionidae
Exons: 3
Source: RefSeq, a predicted model, not a curated record